Molecule: RNA transcript, 919 nt
Organism: Xenia sp. Carnegie-2017
Lineage: Eukaryota; Metazoa; Cnidaria; Anthozoa; Malacalcyonacea; Xeniidae
Gene name: pachytene checkpoint protein 2 homolog
Exons: 6
Source: RefSeq, a predicted model, not a curated record
CAUUCACUAUGGUAUUUGCUAUCUUUAGAACUAUGUAUUAUUUCUUUCUCUACAAUGUUGUCGCUUUUACAGGGAGUAAAAGCACGAAAAUAUUUAUAUGACAUGAACAAACUUGCUUGAUGACAACUUUGCUCAGUCAAAUACUUAUUAUCUAUCAAUUACGUAUUUACAGAAGUCUUGAUUUGAACUACAUUUAUGCGUUUAUUUGCUAAACCUAGUCUUCCCCAAUGUUGUUUUCUUCUUAUUUCAGACAUCCUAAUGUAAUUAUAUUGACAACAUCGAACAUAACUAGAGCCAUAGACGUUGCGUUCGUGGACAGAGCCGACAUCAAACAGUAUAUUGGUCCGCCAUCAGCCAAAGCUAUUUACAAAAUUUACCAUUUGUUUGUAUGUAACUUAUGUCUUCUUGUGCACGUGAUCAACGAAAUGGCUGCCGGUCAAUUAUGUUUUCUGGCCAAAAGGAACGCCGAAAUGGCUUACCGCAACCUGUCAUCAUAUACAAUAUAAAACAACAAUUUGCCUCGUGAAGUAUAUCCCCUCUUCUCAGUACUUUGUACCUUUACGUCUACUGCUUUAUUUCCAUACCACAAUAUAGUCGUUUGUGCAAGUUAUACAAACAUCUUGCUUAAAUAGAGAGGUGUGCAGCUAUAUAGAAAUUGAUUGCAAACGAUUGCAUUGUAGAUAAUUUUUUAAUAAUCAAAAUUAAUGUUCACCGUUUCAUCACAGACCAGUAUCAUAUCACCAGCCACUCAAAUUUUGGAUUUAAGCUUUGUCGACAACGAUGUAACACACUGUAGUCUUGAAUUAAAGAAGAUAGCCGAAAAAAAGUUAUCAACUAAGUGGUCGAACUCUUCGUAAACUACCAUUCCUUGCACAUGCGCUGUAUUCGAAAGCGCAAACGAUAACCUUAGAAGAGUUUU